GCUACGGGUGGCAGCAGUGGGGAAUAUUGGGCAAUGGAGGCAACUCUGACCCAGCAACGCCGCGUGAAUGAUGAAGGUCUUCGGAUUGUAAAGUUCUUUUCUAAGGGAAGAAGAAAGUGACGGUACCUUAGGAAUAAGCCUCGGCUAACUACGUGCCAGCAGCCGCGGUAAUACGUAGGAGGCAAGCGUUAUCCGGAAUGACUGGGCGUAAAGGGUGCGUAGGUGGUUUGACAAGUUGGCGGUGUAAUUCCGGGGCUCAACCUCGGCGCUACCGCCAAAACUAUUAGACUAGAGUGCAGGAGGGGUAAGUGGAAUUCCUAGUGUAGCGGUGGAAUGCGUAGAUAUUAGGAGGAACAUCAGGGGCGAAGGCGACUUACUGGACUGUAACUGACACUGAGGCACGAAAGCGUGGGGAGCAAACAGGAUUAGAUACCCUUGUAGUC
RNAcentral lists this ribosomal RNA (443 nucleotides) under uncultured bacterium. RNAcentral's name for it is "partial 16S ribosomal RNA". It matches the Rfam family "Bacterial small subunit ribosomal RNA", at positions 338 to 795 of the family's 1533-position model. The record is from RNAcentral.